RNAcentral lists this ribosomal RNA (468 nucleotides) under uncultured bacterium. RNAcentral describes it as "partial 16S ribosomal RNA". It matches the Rfam family "Bacterial small subunit ribosomal RNA", at positions 28 to 507 of the family's 1533-position model. The record is from RNAcentral.
GACGAACGCUGGCGGCGUGCUUAACACAUGCAAGUCGAACGGAAAGGCCCUGCUUUUGUGGGGUGCUCGAGUGGCGAACGGGUGAGUAACACGUGAGUAACCUGCCCUUGACUUUGGGAUAACUUCAGGAAACUGGGGCUAAUACCGGAUAGGAGCUCCUGCUGCAUGGUGGGGGUUGGAAAGUUUCGGCGGUUGGGGAUGGACUCGCGGCUUAUCAGCUUGUUGGUGGGGUAGUGGCUUACCAAGGCUUUGACGGGUAGCCGGCCUGGGAGGGUGACCGGCCACAUUGGGACUGAGAUACGGCCCAGACUCCUACGGGAGGCAGCAGUGGGGAAUAUUGCACAAUGGGCGGAAGCGUGAUGCAGCAACGCCGCGUGCGGGAUGACGGCCUUCGGGUUGUAAACCGCUUUCGCCUGUGACGAAGCGUGAGUGACGGUAAUGGGUAAAGAAGCACCGGCUAACUACGUG